UACUGGACUUAGAGUCUGAGGAGAGGC
Molecule: non-coding RNA, 27 nt
Filed under: Mus musculus (house mouse)
Lineage: Eukaryota; Metazoa; Chordata; Mammalia; Rodentia; Muridae
Source: RNAcentral